GAAGCGGUGAGCAUUAUGUGGCAGGCACCGGCAUACGCCGUGAUGGGUGUUAGUGAGGUGUUUACGGUCAUCGGCAUGAUCGAGCUCUUCUACGACCGGGCUCCGGACAACAUGAGGAGCCUGUGCACCGCCUUUGGGCAGCUUGCCAUCGCGGCAGGGAGCUACCUCAACUCGGCAGCGCUGGGCGUUGUCGCGUCCGCCACGAUGUGGAUCCCAGAGGACCUCGACAACGGACACUUGGACUACUUCUUUUGGAUGAUAGCGGUGCUCAGUGCUUUGAAUCUGCUGCAGUUUGUACUCUACUCUAUGAGGUACAACGAUAACGUAGCUUGUCGACAACGCCAUCCAUAUUAG
Molecule: ribosomal RNA, 354 nt
Filed under: Triticum aestivum (bread wheat)
Lineage: Eukaryota; Viridiplantae; Streptophyta; Magnoliopsida; Poales; Poaceae
Description: partial small subunit ribosomal RNA
Source: RNAcentral